RNAcentral lists this transfer RNA (76 nucleotides) under Dehalococcoidia bacterium. RNAcentral describes it as "tRNA-Asn". It matches the Rfam family "tRNA". From Rfam's summary of the family: Transfer RNA (tRNA) molecules are approximately 80 nucleotides in length. Their secondary structure includes four short double-helical elements and three loops (D, anti-codon, and T loops). Further hydrogen bonds mediate the characteristic L-shaped molecular structure. tRNAs have two regions of fundamental functional importance: the anti-codon, which is responsible for specific mRNA codon recognition, and the 3' end, to which the tRNAs corresponding amino acid is attached (by aminoacyl-tRNA synthetases). tRNAs cope with the degeneracy of the genetic code in two manners: having more than one tRNA (with a specific anti-codon) for a particular amino acid; and 'wobble' base-pairing, i.e. permitting non-standard base-pairing at the 3rd anti-codon position. Lineage: Bacteria; Bacillati; Chloroflexota; Dehalococcoidia. The record is from RNAcentral. RNAcentral also lists the same sequence under 1 other name.
UGGGAUGUGGUCUAACUGGCAUGACGCCCGGCUGUUAACCGGGACGGUGCAGGUUCGAAUCCUGCCAUCCCAGCCA